AACGACUCUCUUUGACGGAUAUCUCGGUUCUUGCAUCCAUUAAGAACGUAGAUUAUUGCAAUCCCACCACGUGAAUUGUUUCUCCCGUGAACCAUCGAGUUUUUGAACGAAGUUGCGCCCAAAGACUUUUGUUGAUUACACGUCUGCCUGGAUGUCC
This 157-nucleotide ribosomal RNA is filed under the name Garcinia gummi-gutta. Its description in RNAcentral is "5.8S ribosomal RNA". It matches the Rfam family "5.8S ribosomal RNA". From Rfam's summary of the family: 5.8S ribosomal RNA (5.8S rRNA) is a component of the large subunit of the eukaryotic ribosome. It is transcribed by RNA polymerase I as part of the 45S precursor that also contains 18S and 28S rRNA. Functionally, it is thought that 5.8S rRNA may be involved in ribosome translocation. Lineage: Eukaryota; Viridiplantae; Streptophyta; Magnoliopsida; Malpighiales; Clusiaceae. The record is from RNAcentral.